Molecule: ribosomal RNA, 253 nt
Filed under: uncultured bacterium
Lineage: Bacteria
Description: partial 16S ribosomal RNA
Rfam family: Bacterial small subunit ribosomal RNA
Source: RNAcentral
UACGGAGGGUGCAAGCGUUAAUCGGAAUUACUGGGCGUAAAGCGUGCGUAGGUGGUUUGUUAAGUCCGUUGUGAAAGCCCCGAGCUCAACUUGGGAAUUGCAGUGGAUACUGGCAAGCUGGAGUGCGGUAGAGGAAGGUGGAAUUCCCGGUGUAGCGGUGAAAUGCGUAGAGAUCGGGAGGAACACCAGUGGCGAAGGCGGCCUUCUGGACCAGCACUGACACUCAAGCACGAAAGCGUGGGGAGCAAACAGG